AGAAAGGAAAGGGUUCAAAAUUGGAAUGACUGGUGAUUUGAUGAUCAAAACCAGGAUGUUUAUUUGAUGGUAACUUCAGAUAUAGUACCGUUUCACUGUGUCCGAGUUGAUAAGCUAUGGAAAUUCAUCGCCAUCCAUUUCCUACAAUCUGAGAGCAGCUCCUGUCAAGACCUCCUUGACAACAAAUGUGACUUCCCAGUUAG
RNAcentral lists this long non-coding RNA (203 nucleotides) under Panax ginseng (ginseng). RNAcentral's name for it is "long non-coding RNA (PGIN_LNC000506)". The record is from RNAcentral. Lineage: Eukaryota; Viridiplantae; Streptophyta; Magnoliopsida; Apiales; Araliaceae.